RNAcentral lists this small RNA (199 nucleotides) under Arabidopsis thaliana (thale cress). RNAcentral describes it as "ATSL044930". Lineage: Eukaryota; Viridiplantae; Streptophyta; Magnoliopsida; Brassicales; Brassicaceae. The record is from RNAcentral.
AUAUAAAAUAUAAUCAAAUACUUAAUUAAAAACUAUAUAAAACCGAGGUCCGCGGUAAACCGCGAGUUAAACCCUAGUUCCUUAUAAAUCUAUAAACCAAUAAUCCCUCCUAAAAUUGCGAAAAUAGGCGAGUUUGACGUUGGGAGAUGAAAAAACAAAACAAAAAAGAACAGGCAAUUUACUAGUUCAUGUCCCAUUU